Molecule: ribosomal RNA, 403 nt
Filed under: uncultured bacterium
Lineage: Bacteria
Description: partial 16S ribosomal RNA
Rfam family: Bacterial small subunit ribosomal RNA
Source: RNAcentral
GACGAACGCUGGCGGCGUGCCUAAUACAUGCAAGUCGAACGCAGUGGGGACGGGGUAGUAACCCGUGGCUAACCUCCCAUCAGAGGGGAUAACACUUGGAAACAGGUGCUAAACCGAUACUGAUGGAUGGACCCGCGGGGCAUUAGCUAGUUGGUGAGGUAACGGCUCACCAAGGCCACGAUGCAUACGCGGCCUGAGAGGGUUAGCAGCCACACUGGGACUGAGACACGGCCCAGACUCCUACGGGAGGCAGCAGUAGGGAAUCUUUGGCAAUGGACGAAAGUCUGACCGAGAAACGCCGCGGGAGGGAAGAAGGUUUUCGGAUAGUAAAACGCUGUUGUCAGAGAAGCGGUAUCUAACGAAAAAGCCACGGCUAACUACGUGCCAGCCGCCGCGGUAAUAC